Cyprinus carpio carpio is the source of this 3176-nucleotide long non-coding RNA. NCBI's taxonomy places the organism in Eukaryota, Metazoa, Chordata, Actinopteri, Cypriniformes, Cyprinidae. The record is from Ensembl.
CUUCAUUUGCUUCAUGGAAAAUAUAUUCUUAUAAUAUUUUCUUUUGAUUGCGGGACCUGGAUAUUUUUUGUGAGAUUCACCUCUUAAACUGGAAUAUUUCUGGAAGAUGUUUCACUUUUUGAAUGUUACGAAAGGAACGAUAAAGGUCAAAUUAACUCAUUCUAACACUAAUGCCUUUUCAGAUCACAACCAGAAUAAGUUCACGGGGCUGUAUAAUCGUACACAUAUAUAAAUACCUAUAAAUAUGUAUGAUGCUAGGAUAUUUUAUUUAUUGCUUUACCCUGUCAGAUUUUAUUUUUUUUCUCUCAGAUGCUAGCUAACAUGGAUAUCCAGUUGUAGAACAUAAUUUAGUCCUCUGCACUCAUCCAUAUCAGAUUUAUAACUUAGAAUCAUUAAAAAAAAAAAAAGACCUUGGAGCUCAGCUGACUUCAUUAACGUAGGUGUUUAUUUGUUAGUAGCGUGUGGUGAUGUUGAUUAGGUAAUAAGUAGUCAUGUCUGGUGCAACUCUGGCGGAAAGAAAACUUAGCAUCCAUGCACUGUCCCAGAGCUUAUCUCUUCCUCAAGAGCUUCCUCAAGUUUACAUCUCUGAUCUUCAGGAAUCAUUUCCAAAGAGAUGGCACAGUCCAGACCCAGUGCAUGAUGGGAUUGUUUGGGUUUGCAUAAUACUGACCAGCUCUGUCGGCAUCGAACAUAUCAAGAACAUGAGAUCCGUGUUCACAGCUUUCAGCAGAGCUAGAGCUGGUUCAGGUGGGAUCUAGACUCCUGAAUGAGGUUUAAUGAAGCUUCCAACAUUUAAUUGGUUAGUGAAUCUCAUGAAGAAAUGUCCCAGGGAAAUAUCAAAAGAAAAAAAUAACAAAACGGUUUUUGCACUAAGAACAUUAAGCCUAUUUUAUGAAGAUUAUGAGUGCAAUGUUGCAUUAUUUUCAUCACAAAUAAGCAUAUUUAAAUCCCAAAUUCUCACUAUUGUAAUGCAGUGAUAUAUAUUUCCAAUACCUUACAUGUGUACUUUACAAUUUAAUUAUCAUAAUUUAUUAUUUUUUGUAUUACAGUAAUGAGAAUUGAUGGAGAAAUGGCCUUAAUUUUGCAAAAAUUGGUCAGUAUAUAUACAGUAAGUACAUUACAGUAUAUAUACAUAAGUACAGUAAUAAGAGGUGUCUCGUAUGCACAAAAGCACACUGGAUAUCCGAUACAGAACUAAAAGAAACCCCUGACUCUCUCAAAACAUGAGAUGUUUUACAACAACAGACAACUUUACAAGAUGUUUAACGAAAGCCUGCUGUUAUUUAUUUCAGUAUUAUAUGUUUUUAAAGGUUAGAAACGGCUAUUGUUUUUAUGGCAUGUGCUGUUGGAUGAGUUAAUAUAUAUGGACAAAUUUCUUUUUGUCACUUGUUUUGCUUUUUUUGUCUUUUGUGUUCACGUCUGGCCAGAUAUCAGUAUUAUCUUGAAUGUGUCAGUCAGCUUUUAUUGGAAAGCUGUUUGUUUUGAUUGAACUCCUGAAAGUAAAGCAGUCACCAUAGUGCAGCCAUUUUUUCCAUCACACACAUAGACAUUUGCACACCCUAUUAUUAUAUUAUAUUAUAUUAUAUUAUAUUAUAUUAUAUUAUAUUAUAUUAUAUUAUAUUAUAUUAUAUUAUAUUAUAUUAUAUUAUUAACGUUUAAGGGUCAAAUGAUGCAUGUUGAUACUUUGUUUCUACUGUCUACUGCAUGGGUUUUAGCUUUAAAAUCUUUCACAUUAGUUCAGUGUGUUAUUGGCCAUUAACACACAGCUUUGGAUCUAAUAUAUCACUAUAGUGUGCUGGGAUUUUAUCAUGCCUUACUAUAGUUACAGUCCUUCUUGUAUCACACAGUGCUUCUGUAUCAUUCUAUCAGUCUCGACUGCUUUCUGUAGGAGAUCAAUGUUUGUGAUGCAUUGUCAUUAGAAAAAAAAUUGUGUGUGUGUGUGUGCAUACAUGACAGUUCAAACUGGUUUUCUAAUCAAUUUUGUAUUGUUUUCCAGUGAGAUUUUAUUAUCAUUAUUAUUAUUUUGCAUAUUUUGAAUUACAUUCAUUUUUUCAUACCUCAUUGGCAAAUUGUUUCAAAUUUAAAGCAUUUGCAAAAAAAAUAAAAAUAAAUAAAAUGUCACAAAUACCUAAUGGGGUAAGGGAAAAAAGUUUAUUUAACAUAUUCUCUGAAAAUGUCUUAUUUUUCUUUUCAGUUAAAUUUAUUUUGUUUACAUCAUUUCAGAUUUUUUUGUCAUUUAAAUAUUUUUACUGGAAAACAAGACAAAAAUAGUGAUCAGUAUUAAUAUUAAGUUCAGAUGAGCACAGCUGAAAUCAAGUUCAGCAUUCAGCAUCUCAUUUGUCAUCAGUGUACAGAAUCAUUCAGGAGUUUAUGAUCAUGGGACCAUUGUGUGAAUGUGACCUUUGCUUUUGUUUUAUUGUGUUAUUAGUUCAGUUCUUAUGGAAUACAAAUAAAAUCGGUUGGAAGAUUUACAAAUGCAGUUUGAUAAAAAAAAAUGCAUAUCACUUCAAAUGGAAAAUAAUGAAGUUGUACUGGAACAAAAAAAAAAAAUCAUUGAAUGUUGACGUGUUUGUACAUGGUUUUAUUUACAUUGUAAUAUUUUAGAUAAAGCCUUACCUCUGAAUGGACGACAUGUCAAUGUAACACAUUUGUUUCUCUGUGGUGUUUCAUAUUCUAUUAGUUUGCUUUAUUUACAUUUGUGAAGCUUAACCUAUAACAUUCCUGUUAAAAUUGGUAUCAUUUUCCUCUUUAAAAAAAAUGAUUUGCACAUUUGUAAAAAAUCUCAGACUUGUCCCACCGAUCCAGCAGCCCUGUUUUAGACUUUCCUCAGCUCUAAGUUCUGAAGUGGUUUGUAAAAAAGGACAUCCAUAUUAAAUCAGAGUCUGACGCUCACUGUAUCAAGAUCAGCCUGCUCUCAUGCUUGUAUAAAGACAGCUUAUGCAGACAUUAAUAGAUGCUGUAGUAAUGCAGAUCAGUUGAACAUCUCAUAUGUUUGCUUCUCCUUCAACUUGUUCAGACUGGUUGUUCAGAGAGUUUGUAGUUCCUGUAGCUGUAAUUAUUUCAUGUGUUCAUCGGUGCAAUUUCAUGGAGUGAUACACUUAUGUCAAAAGCUGUUCAAGUCAAAUAAAUCAAUUCAGCACAAUGUGAAUGUUUUCUUUUUAAUUAUAUUACAAAAC